UUGAAAGUCUUCUUCACAUACUUCACGCACACCUCUUCUCUUCUAUCUUCUCCCACCCACGGUGCUGCCGCCAAGGGGGCACGCAGCGGCCGUCAAGGGGACUCGUCAAGGUUCUAGUCGUGCCCUAUCCGCAACUCGGAUUCGCUACGGCCAGCGUGAGUCUCCACUACUCACUAGCGCUGUCGCCCCCAACUGGCACCCUGACGUACAACAGCAGCGAACAAGACUCCAGAAGGCGGCAAGCACCCCCUACCUGUAGCGAGGUGGCAAUCUCACCUGACGGCGGCACACCUUCGAACAUAGGCUGGUAAACAUGUCAUCCACUGCUUCGGGUAGUUCUACAAGUAACCAUUCCAUAGAUAUCUACACAUCCCAAACACGCUUCGGGUAGUUCUAUAAGUAACUAUUCCAUAGAGAUCUACACAUCCCAAACACCACGCCGUACAAGGUCUGCUGUUUGGAAACACUUUGAGCAAAGUUUAGUCGAUGUCGAUGGUGAUCUAAAGGCUAGUUGUAAGUACUGUAGACUGCACAUGAACACCAAAUUUGGCACGAGCAGUCUAAGAGGUCAUAUUGCUAAUGCCUGCCCAGCUAUUGAUGCUCAUAUCAGACAAAAGUUUCAAGCCUCCCUUACUAAGCAAUCAUCAGCAGAACCUUUUGUGUUUGACCCUCA
Molecule: long non-coding RNA, 673 nt
Organism: Setaria italica (foxtail millet)
Lineage: Eukaryota; Viridiplantae; Streptophyta; Magnoliopsida; Poales; Poaceae
Exons: 2
Source: RefSeq, a predicted model, not a curated record